Molecule: long non-coding RNA, 6112 nt
Organism: Gorilla gorilla gorilla (western lowland gorilla)
Lineage: Eukaryota; Metazoa; Chordata; Mammalia; Primates; Hominidae
Exons: 7
Source: RefSeq, a predicted model, not a curated record
UUUUGUCCAUGUGAAACCUAUCAGAUACCUAUUAGACAGGUAUCCAAGGUGAGUCCAGAGAUAUGUGUGCAGAGCUAGAACUGGAUAUAUGCACCUGGGACAGGAGCUAUAUGGGCAUGUCUGGGCUGGGGGAUAUACACCUGAGAGUCAUCAACCUGUAAAAGCUACCUAAAGCCUUAAGACUGGAAAAAUUCAUCGAAGGGGUGUAGACAAAGAACCCUCAGACCACUGGCAAGAAGUAGGUCACUAAAAAUGUUAUAAGUCUCACUUCAGUGAUAUGGUGGGGAGAAAAUCAACCAGACAGGUUGACAGAGAAUGGGGGAUAAAAAAGUAGAGAUAGAGGUAGGAUGUAUCAGAGUGUUUUUUUCUUUCUAAAGAUGGAUAAUAUUAAGACAUAUUUGUGGGGUAAUAUACGACAGGUUGAGUAUCCCUAACCAAAAACCCAAAAUCCAAAACUUUUUGAGUGCCAACGUGACAAGUGGAGGAUUCAACACCUGACUUCACAUGAUGAGUCACAGUCAAAACACAUUAAAAACGUUUUGUGCACAAAAUUAUUUAAAAUAUUAUAUAAAAUCACCUUCAGGCUAUGAGUAGAAUUUGUAUAUGAAACAUAAAUAAAUUUCAUGUUUAGACUGGGGUUUCAUUCCUAAGAUAUCUCACUAUGUAUAUGCAAAUAUUCUAAAAUCUGAAAAAAUCCUACAGGCAAAACACUUGAAGCAUUUCAGUUAAGGGAUGCUCAACCUGUACAAGGGAAAUGUACACCUGUCCUUGAAAAAUGAGAAGGAAUGGAGUCCAGGACAAAUGAAUGGAUGGCUUUUAAAAGAAAAGGGACACUUCUGCUGUAAUAAAAGGGAAGGCAUAUGAGCUAGAAUCGCACUCCAUGAGGACAUCUCAUGUUCCUAAAACAGUGCCUGGCACACAGAAGAUACUCAAUAAAAAUCUACCAAAAAGUGGCUGUGAUCAUUGAAUGAGAAAAUGUAUACGAAGCAUUUAGCCUAACAUCUGGGAUGUCCUCCUCCUGGUUUGCUUUCUCUGAGGUAAAGACAUACGAGAUUUCUUUGUGAGACGUGGUCUGGCGGCAGAUUGCACACUUAAUGGAGCUUCUGUGAGAUCCCACGCUGUAUUGUUCAAUAAUUAUAGAAAUGCAUUCAUUACAGAAACAGUGACCACAGACAUUCUUGCUCUGUCGCCCAGACUGGAGUGCAAAUGAUGCGGUCUUGGCUCACUGAAACCUUGCAACCUCCACCUCCAGGAUUCAAGCAAUUUUCCUGCCUCAGCCUCUUGAGUAGCUGGGAUUACAAGCACCUGCUGCCACGACCAGCUAAUUUUUGUAUUUUUAGUAGAGAGGGGUUUCACCACAUUGACCAGACUGGUCUCGAACUCCUGACCUCAUGAUCCAUCCACUUCAGCCUGGGAUUACAGGUGUGAGCCACUGCGCCCAGCCAAAAAGAAAUGUUUAAGAAACCCCUUGUCCUAUUCGGGAAAAAUAAAAUAAUCCUCUCUGAAUCUCUGCAACAUACCAUGGAGACUUUUGCCCUCUUUGGCAAUGAGAGACGUAAGAGCAAUAGAUUUAGUCUAGGUGUAAGUUCUAAAAGCUAUGACAUCUUAUAAAUGUAGAUUUAACCGUUUUCAUCUGGUAAAAACAAUAAGAAAAACUGAGUGUCUUUUGAGUGACAAAGCUUCUAAAUCCUUAAGCUAUGUUUUUUUUAAGAUUUGGACAUGUAUGGAAAGAAAGUGCGUACCUGGCCCACUUGAGAUUCUUUGCUGGAUCAUCUAAGAUGCUCUUUGGAAAAGAACUCACAUUGAAAGAAGAGAAAAUUGAGGUACAUAAGCUUGGUUUUCAAACCACUAUUUUGCCUAUUAUCAGCUAAUACUAUUCCUACUGUUCUCUAGCUGCACCUCUGCCAGAGUCCACAGGAGUUGAGACUAAUGAAAUUGAAGAGCUGUUUUACUAGCAUUUUUGUAUGACACAGAGCAGCACUAUAUUGUACUUUAUGUACCUCUAGUGCCACUGGGGACUCUACUGGAAAGGAGUUUUGUGACUCACUAGAGCUCAAAAUGGACCAACUAAACAUCAAGACAGGUCCACCUACAUGUGCAAUGGAGAAGAAGCAACGAGAUACCUGGCACCUGAGCAUUAGGAGUGACAGGAAGCUGACUGACCCAAACAGAAGAGACAAAUGGCAAUGCCUCCAGGCGCAUCAGCUGCAUUUUGAAGAUGUUCCAAUGUCAACUGGUUACAUAGAGAAACUAUGGAAAAUACCGAAACAUCUUUAAAGGUGAAAAGAAAAACAUCUCUAUGUAGCCACCAGUUUUAUUAGUGCUCCUCUAUGGAAUCUCGCUCUGUCGCCCAGGCUGGAGUGCAGUGGCGCAAUCUCAGCUCACUGCAACCUCUGUCUCCCAGGUUCAAGCGAUUCUCCUGCCUCAGCCUCCUGGGAACUGGAUUACAGGCGUGUGCUACCAUUCCAGCUAAUUUUUUGUAUCUUUAGUAGAGACGAGGUUUCACCAUGUUGGCCAGGCUGGUCUCAAACCCCUCGGCCUCUCAAAGUGCUGGGAUUACAGGCGUGAGCCACCAUGCCCAGCCUGUGUUAUCUUCUUAAUGUUAGCAAUUUGCAUGAAACUUUUUAAUUUUUUUCUUCUUUUUAUCUUUCAGAAUAAGUGUUGGUAAUCAUAACAGUAAUAAUGAUCUUAAUAAUAUUAAUAGCAGCAAAAACCUAGAAAGUGCUUAAUACAUCAGAAACUACUCUAGCAUUUUACAUGUAUUAAUUCACACAAUCCUCAAGACAGCCCUAUACUAUAAAGUAGUGUUGACAUCAUUCUCAUUUUACUGAUGAUGCGAGGAAAGGUGAAUAACUUAAAUAAAGUCACAUAUCUAGAAAACAGUUGAGUCACGAUUCAAAAUUGGGCUGUCCAGUUCCAAAGUCUACCUUCUUAGUCGCCAUGCUAUAUCUAUAAUGAAUGUCUAACUUUUCAUUUUGUCUGAGAUUUACUGAUUCACUUAAGUAUAUGUUAUACCAGUUUCCAGAAGAAUUCAAAUCUAUAUCUUGUCCUCACUUGCCCUAUCCAAAUAUUUACUACUAUAUCUUGCCCCUAGAAGGUUCUCUGCCAACUAGCAAAAUAUGAAUUCCUGCAAUAAAAUGAAAUUAUAUUUAAUCAAUGACCCACCAAUUCAUCAGUGUCCAGUAUAAUACUCAGAUCAUAACUCAGAACAUGUGUUUUGAAUUACUUAAUAUUUGAAGUCUACCUUCAUUACCAUGUACUCUGAUUUAGUAGCUUUCCAAACACACUUCAGUUUCAAAUAACAAAUUACAACAUAUUUUUGUAUUGAUGAAUGAAUGCAUGUGUAUAAAUUGCAUUAUGCCAGUUUCACCGAGAUAUGUUUUAAUACUUUUACUAUUCAAGGCUUUGAACUACAGUCCAUUUACAUUGUUCUCUACUAUCGAGUGCAUGCCUUCUAUAUCAUCUGCAUAAUAAAUUUCUAUAGAUACAAUAUUCUUUUGUGAUCUCUGAAGCUAUUGUAGAGACAUAGGUAGUGUUCUGACUCAUAUAACACAAAAUACUAAUUACAACAAUUUGCACCAUUAAUUAUGAAAGGAGUCACUAAAGUGGUUUAUGAUAAUGCAGCAUAGGAAAAAGUAGCAUGUCUUAGAAACAAUACCUUCUCCAAAUUAGUUAGGUAAAGAAGCUGCCCAAGUUUUUUCUGAAGCUGUGAUGUAGCAACGGCUUUAUCAUUUAGUAGUUUUAUUCGGUUUUGUUCUACCUAAAGAAAAUAAAAAUAAAAACUUCUUUAUUCUUUCAGAAAGACAGUUAAAUUAUAUUAAAUAUGGACAAUUCUCCAGUAAUACAAAUGUAUUCUGUUUUUAAAAAAAACCUAUUUACAUUCUAAAACACAAGUUUUCAAAAUGGAUACUAGAUACUAUAUUUCAAAUGAUUUUUUUUUUUUUUUGCUUUAUGAAAGGCACAAUUCAAUGCAGAGUUCUUUUAAACAGGAAGUGUCCCUAUGUACCUGAAGUCAGAUAAAAAUAAACUCAAAUUCUAUUAUGUACCAUUUUUUUCAGUAAUACAUACACGGGAUAAAGAAAAGUUAAAUGAUUUGUUGCUCUGGCCUCAGUGAUUUCAUGAAAUCCAGGGAAGAAUUUCUCUGCCCUUCUUUCCUCUGUCCCCCUGGUAGAAUACAGCAGACAGAGAAGGAACACUCAAACAAGACGAAUUUAUUUUCUCAGAAAAACUUCUUCAGAAUUCACAUUUAAGUGAGAUAGUAUAUAAUGAAUAUAUCUAAAUUUUUCCAAGUUACAGUCUCCAAGCUGUACAGAAACAGACUUAAGGCACUAAACAAAUAAGGAAUAAAAAUGAAUUAUAAAGGAAAUAAUAUCUUUUAAUGGAGAAUAAAAGAGAUUUGUGGAGUGAUGUUUUUAAACCUGAGUUACAAAGACAAAGUUAUUAGAAGGUAAGUUGUUAAUAUUAGUUCAUCAUUAGCAAAAGAAACACUGCAAAAGAAAAGGUUUCAGUUGUUUUUAAGGAAGAUUUUUCUAGUUCUGAUAAAACUGAGGUGACAAAAAUGUCUAAAAAGUGACUGAGAAUAUCUAUUGGUCUUAAGCACAUACAAGGUUUUAAACUCAAAAACAGAUGAAUGUGCAACCUGGAGAGAAACAAGAUGCCCCAAAAUAGUGAACACUAAGCAUGUAAUAGAUAUGAAAUUGCUCAUCUUUGACCAUUUUUGGUCUACAAAGACAAUUUUCUAUGGGUCAAAUUAAAAAUGGAGAUUAAAUACACACUUAUAGUAGAGCUCAGUGCCCUGAUUCUGCCUUUUCUAUGGGUCUUAGAUAUCUGUGACAUCUGCUUGCUGUUCCCUUUUCUGUGAUUUACUUGCCAAUUACCUCAUGUGGCUCAAUGAUAUGAAGAACAGGCGGAUUAGGCUUUGGCUCCCUAGGAUCACGCACUCUUAGUCGUUCUGUAGCCAUUGCAAGUUCAUCAACAGCAGACACACGAUUCCUCAGAGCCAUCCAAUAUUCAUGAAGCAACUGAAGGAACAGAAAAGACAAACACAGUGGUAAAGCACGUAAUUAAAACUGGUUAAAACCACCAAGAUGUGCCUUAAGCAAAAGUCUUCAAUGAGAUCUUACACUUUUUCGCUAUGUGUCUAACGUACAAGUAGUUCCUGGGGUCAUUUUUAGGAUGAAAUGUGAACGAAAAAAAUCUCUAUAGGACACUGCCUCUUUAGAUUCUCAGUAACAGAAUAUAAAGAUUUCUUGCUAAGACCAAAAAUCUUUAUAAAGUCCAAUUUUAGGCUGACAGAAUCUCUUCUGCUUUAUUUUUUAAAAAUAGUUUUAUUAUAACAUAUUUCACAUAUUCAACUGUGUAUAAAUGGCAACAAGAAUACUAAAAUAUACAAUCAAGUACUCAUCAUCUAAUUGAAGAAAGAAUAAUAUGAAUUCCUUGGAAAGGCUCUGUGUGUUCUUUCUCAACUGUAUCACUCUUUCCUCACAUAUUCCUCCUUCAGUACCCAACCAUGGGGCAACCACUGUUCUGAAUUGUACUUAUCCUGCUACACUUUUCAUUAAACUUAUACUAUGUGAAACAUAUUCUUAAUAAUUCAGUUAUAUAUGUUUCUGAAAUUCACAGAAAUGGUAUCAAUCAGUAUACAUUUUUUGACAGGCUCUCUUCACUGACUUUACAUUUUGAGGUAGAUCUGGUAGAUAUGUACAGCAGGAGCUCAUUCAAUUGCUCUUCUGUGAAAAGGUCUGCAAAGUUAUGCAGAAAAUAUGUACCAAGACCUGGGAGAACUGCACAAUAAGCUCUCUUCUGGACAAAGGGUAUGUGGCCAAACUGAGUCGAAAGGAAGAAUACAGGGGCAACUGAACAUCAUAUGUAACACUUCUUCCAAGGCUUACUGUAAUUAACUAUGUUAACGUGCUUUGUAUUCACAUGAGUAAUGUGUGAGAAAAACAUUAUUAUAAACCAAUGAUUUUGAUGUUAUAAAUGUAUUCCCCAAUUUAUGACAAAUGAACUGAUAGUACAAAUAACUAUCUCUCUGCAUAAAAAUUUUUAUCCUACUUUAAAAAGCAAGACUUUUUAAAAAAGAAAUUGAAUAAAAAUGUCAUUAUAAAUAAAA